Molecule: ribosomal RNA, 406 nt
Filed under: uncultured bacterium
Lineage: Bacteria
Description: partial 16S ribosomal RNA
Rfam family: Bacterial small subunit ribosomal RNA
Source: RNAcentral
AUUGAACGCUGGCGGCAGGCCUAACACAUGCAAGUCGAACGAGUGGCGGACGGGUGUGUACUGUCUGUGAAAUUGCCCGUUGGAGGGGGAUAACUACUGGAAACGGUAGCUAAUACCGCAUACCAUCGGAUGUGCCCAGAUGGGAUUAGCUAGUGGGUGGUGUAAAGGCUCACCUAGGCGACGAUCCCUAGCUGGUCUGAGAGGAUGACCAGCCACACUGGAACUGAGACACGGUCCAGACUCCUACGGGAGGCAGCAGUGGGGAAUAUUGCACAAUGGGCGAAAGCCUGAUGCAGCCAUGCCGCGUGUAUGAAGAAGGCCUUCGGGUUGUAAAGUACUUUCAGCGGGGAGGCGUUACCCGCAGAAGAAGCACCGGCUAACUCCGUGCCAGCAGCCGCGGUAAUAC